CAGAACAUCACAAGGGAAAGACAAGUUAAAUGAUUUUACAGGGGUUUAAUGGAAUAAUCUACAUUAGUAAAGCUCAGUUUUAUCAAUUACGAUAAAAAGUCGAUUUUUUAGUUACAGAUUUCAUUGUUGUGUGAGAGAGUGCAUGGAUUAACUGAUGUGAACAUCUGCUUAUGGUGAGUAUGACACCGCUAUUUGUCAACUGAUAAUUGAAGCUAUGAGGCUAAGCUAGAUGAAAAUGCAUUUAUUUAAUAUUUGAAGCAAUUUAAUGAUUUUGUGCAGCAGCUUUUAGUGUAUAAGAAGCAAUUCAAGACUCCUUGAAAAUUAGCAGCAGGAAACUACUGGAUGAUUAAAAUAUCUAUGGCAGGAGGAAAAUACUAAAGUUCUCGGCGUCUCGUGUGCUUCUUCUUCUUUCUCUUCACACAAAGUCGUAGAAGUUUUCAGACGUGUCACAGCUGGAUGUGAGGAUGGGACCCACUUUCCUCUGUGAGCUGGGCCUAUUCUUUCUCUGUACGCUCCUCUGCAGCGGACACGCUCAAGAUGCUGUGCUAACUGUUAAACCCAGCUCGACCUUGUUCAUUGAAGAGACUGUUAGCUUCAAAUGUGACAUGAAGGAAGGAGAACACACUGACUGGGAAUACAAACUCAACAAGGAUGGUCGAGCCUUUAUCCAGUACAGCACAUACAAAAAUUACAGAAAACAAAUGAAGUCUCCCUCUGAUACUGGUAAAUACCAGUGCUCUGGUCAUAUGAAGAAAUCACAUUAUACAAAGAACAGUAAUACUGUCUCCCUAACUGUGCUGGCAGGUAAACCCAGGGCCACACUGACUCCAGGAUCAACUAUAUACCAGUAGGGGGC
Molecule: long non-coding RNA, 856 nt
Organism: Oreochromis aureus
Lineage: Eukaryota; Metazoa; Chordata; Actinopteri; Cichliformes; Cichlidae
Exons: 5
Source: RefSeq, a predicted model, not a curated record